GAAGUUUUUCUGGUGCUUGCACUAGAAAAACUUAGCGGCGAACGGGUGAGUAACACGUAAAGAACCUGCCUCAUAGACGGGGACAACUAUUGGAAACGAUAGCUAAUACCGGAUAACAGCAUAAAUCGCAUGAUAUAUGUUUAAAAGUUGGUUUCGGCUAACACUAUGAGAUGGCUUUGCGGUGCAUUAGCUAGUUGGUGGGGUAAAGGCCUACCAAGGCGACGAUGCAUAGCCGACCUGAGAGGGUGAUCGGCCACACUGGGACUGAGACACGGCCCAGACUCCUACGGGAGGCAGCAGUAGGGAAUCUUCCGCAAUGGGCGAAAGCCUGACGGAGCAACGCCGCGUGAGUGAAGAAGGAUUUCGGUUCGUAAAGCUCUGUUGUUAGGGAAGAAUGAUUGUAUAGUAACUAUAUACAGUAGAGACGGUACCUAACCAGAAAGCCACGGCUAACUACGUGCCAGCAGCCGCGGUAAUACGUAGGUGGCAAGCGUUGUCCGGAAUUAUUGGGCGUAAAGCGCGCGCAGGUGGUUUAAUAAGUCUGAUGUGAAAGCCCACGGCUCAACCGUGGAGGGUCAUUGGAAACUGUUAAACUUGAGUGCAGGAGAGAAAAGUGGAAUUCCUAGUGUAGCGGUGAAAUGCGUAGAGAUUAGGAGGAACACCAGUGGCGAAGGCGGCUUUUUGGCCUGUAACUGACACUGAGGCGCGAAAGCGUGGGGAGCAAACAGGAUUAGAUAUCCUGGUAGUCCACGCCGUAAACGAUGAGUGCUAAGUGUUGGUCUCAUAAGAGAUCAGUGCUGCAGCUAACG
Molecule: ribosomal RNA, 809 nt
Filed under: uncultured Gemella sp.
Lineage: Bacteria; Bacillati; Bacillota; Bacilli; Caryophanales; Gemellaceae
Description: bacterial SSU rRNA
Rfam family: Bacterial small subunit ribosomal RNA
Source: RNAcentral